RNAcentral lists this long non-coding RNA (283 nucleotides) under Elaeis guineensis (African oil palm). RNAcentral describes it as "long non-coding RNA (EGUI_LNC077116)". Lineage: Eukaryota; Viridiplantae; Streptophyta; Magnoliopsida; Arecales; Arecaceae. The record is from RNAcentral.
CCCAUCUCUACCACCGUGCAUGAUCCCAUCUGGCCAUCCCCAAAUCUUACAAAAUAUCGUGCUUCCAGCAAGUUUAAGCUCUCUAGACCUCAAGGGACAAACUCACACCGCCACAACUCCCACAAAAUCCUAUAUGCUUGAGAAAAAACCUCAAUCGAAGCCUAAAAACCCCUCCGAUCUCUUUUAGGUGCUCUCCUUUUCUAAUCGAGACUAACACAGUUGCAACUCACACAAAAUCUCAAAUGCUCAAGAAAAAACCCCAACCAGAACCUAAAGAACCCCU